CAGGUAUUCUUUAACAUCUGUUCCUAUUUUUAUUUGAGUGAAUUUAUUAUUUAUCUACACGAAGUAUAUUACUCAAUUGAAUGGGUUCUGACUCUGAUAACAUGAGAAGAAAUAAACCUUGAGCCUAACUGAUACAAGAUCGACAAGGAACACACAAACAACACCAAAAUCAGUCCACAACUUGAAAGAACCGUGAACCCUUUUGAUGACCACUCUUGGAUUCAACAAAAAACAAUGUAUUGUGGUGUUUAACACCUAAAAACAGCCCACAACAAACUAUGUUAACAAUAUCAAGAUGAAGAACAAGAACAACACACGGGUUACAGGAGAAACAAUACACCACAUGGCUACAAGAUUACAACAAAGGAAAUGAUAGAGAGUGACAUACACUACUACAAAGACCAAGAACCUAAGUGUAUUCAAGCACAAAGACCCUUGAUAAAGAUGGUAGAAACACCUACACUAUGCGGUGGACACAAGAGAGGACCUCAAUCCGUCUAGCACCCAACGAUCCAAGCAAACAAACAACAAAAGUGAUUCCACACCUAAGUUGUUUCCUAGUUUCAACCAAGUCUUUAUGGUAGAGAGAACUUGUGUUUUUCUAGUGUGUUAUACAAUCUUCAAUAUCAAAAAACUAAGUAAAGUAACCCUAAAAUGUUUCUUAUAUAGUGUAUUACAAAGAGAAGGCAAAAAGUCCAAAAUGCCCCUUAGAGAUUAGGUGCCCCUCUAGUGUGAAUUAGUGGCUGUUUUGAUAAUUUUUAAGUCCUUAAUUCCACUUCUCUUGCACACACACUUGCACACACACAUGGAAGAAUUCAAUACACAUCCUCAUAAGUUCAUCUACGUGAUCGCACUUGUAUCAUCCUCUCCAUCUUGAGAGGAAUUUGUCCACAAAUUCAAGCAAUCAUCACCCGCAAGCUCUGCUCUUUGAAUCAUCUUUUCAAUGUUCCUCCCAAGGUUAGGAUGUUCAACCAAGGGUUCCAUGAGGUUAUCAAGCUUGCUACUUGGACUUAAAUGUUCUUUAACCUACACAUAAGAAGAAAGGAUGCUAUGCAAAGUGCUAGCAUCUUGGUUAGUAGGAAACAAAGGAUCUUUGUGGGCAAACCCACAAUCCUAACUCUCAGCUUCUUUUCUUCACCCUCCUCACUCUCGGCUUUUUCUUCCACAAUCUCACUAAGCAUGAUUCUCCUUGCCAUAUACAUAGGCACAAUACACUCUCCAUCCACCGGCCAAAUAUCUUCCCCACCUUCAUCAAUUUCCACCUCGGCCUCAAGCUCUCCAUCUUGAGCUUUUUCAUCACCCUCAUUCGAUUCAAGUCCUACCUCCUCACCAAGGUAAUACAAUUUUCCCUCCCUAAGGAUUACAUUCCUCUGGGCUCUGGUUUGGGCACUCACUAGCCUUGUGCUCCCACCCUUGACAUUUAAAACAUUGAAAUCCCUUAGGACGAGAAGUAGAAUUUGGUUUACCUUUGUUUCUUGGAGGAUACUUUUGGCAAGCAUUGGUUUCGGUUUGUACAACCUUGUUCUCUGUUUGGUUGGCAUUGGAUGAAUGCUCUUGAUGUUGGUGCCACUCCGAGAAAGGUCCUUGGUGAUUCUUGGGUUGGAGGCCGAGAGCUCCCUUUCAAUUUCCAAGGCCGCUUGGAAAAUGCCAUCGAUCGUGUCAAAUUUGUGGAGGGUCAUCCGAGAAGCUGUGUCCCUAUUCAACUCGACUUUGAAUCGUAUAAUAUCAUGGCUCACUUGUUCUCCUCUAUGGUCAAGCUUCAACAUCAAUUGUUGAAACUCGUCAUAGCAUGCCAUGACACUUUUGUUUCCUUGCCUCAAGUUGUACAACUUGGCAAGAAGUUCUUGUUUGUAGCCCUCGGGUAAGUACCUUUGACGCAUAAGGUACCUCAAUCUAAAUUAUGGAGGUGGCCACCCGGCAAUCAACACAUCACCAAACCUCUUCACAUACUCCCACCAAGUGUUUGCAUACCCCUCAAAGUGAGCGAUUGCAUAACAACUCUUCUCCUCUUCGGUUAGAUCAUUCACUUGGAAUAUCCUAUCACAAGAUGACUCCUAAGCAAGAUANNNNNNNNNNNNNNNNNNNNNNNNNNNNNNNNNNNNGGAAGACUAACUUUGAUGGAAUUGAGGCUAAGCUCUCAUGUUUGGUUACCACCCCUCACUUCUCGGCCUAAAUAACCUUGCUUACCCCUCUCCUCUUCUUCCCUCAAGUAAGCAUCACCAUAACCCCCAUAACUCCAUGUUGUUCCUCCCUACCAUAACCCUCAAAAUGGUUUGGUGGAUUUGGAUUAAGUGGAUUCGGAUUUGGAGGAUAGUAAGGCCUUUGGUUCAAUGGAGUUUGGAUUGGAAAGUGAGGUCUUUGGAUAAGUGGAGGGUUUGGGUUUGGUGGCAUUUGGGUUCCAAAUCCGUCAUGUUGGACUAGGUGAAGUGGAGGGAGGGUUGCUCUAUCAUACUCACGGUUUUGGGAAACAUUUGGUGGUUGGCUCGGUGACUUGUUCAUUUGGUGCAAGGCCUUGGGAGUAAUGGUUUGCAAGGUCUUGGGAGUACUAGUUGGGGAAUUGUUUUGAGGGGUGAAAGGUCAACUCCUUUGGCUUUCUACACGCUCUAAUCUCCCACUCAUUGAUGCCACAUCCGUAUCUAAUUUCUCAAGACCCACAUUCAACCUAGCCACAUCUCGGGACAUAGUUUCAAGGCGAGCCAAAAUGAGAUUGAUGGCAUUAUUGUCCAUUGUUUGAGCAUUUGAAGCCUCGGGUUCCAUUGUGAUUGUACCGAAAAUAACCCUUCAAAUUUUUUCAAACUCAAGCUCAACAAUAGUGGAUGACUCAAAUUACCUCCAAUUUAGCUCAAAUUUGAACCCUAUACUUCUAUAGUGUUACAGAAAAAAUCUAACACUAAAAACACAAGGAAAACACAAAAUCAAAAACUCAAAAUUUGACAUAGGGUCAAAAAUGGGUUUGGGAUUUCUGAUUUUGACACUUCUUUUUUGUAGGAAUUUUCAUUUUUUUUUUUGGAUUUUCAAGAUAACAAUCCCAAGAUUGAUUUUGUUGGAACAAAAUCAAACCUUGCUUUGAUAUCAAAUGAUACAAGAUCGACAAGGAACACACAAACAACACCAAAAUCAGUCCACAAGUUGAAAGAACCAUGAACUCUUUUGAUGACCACUCUCAGAUUCAACAAAAAACAAUGUAUUGUGGUGUUUAACACCUAAAAACAGCCCACAACAAACUAUGUUAACAAUAUCAAGAUGAAGAACAAGAACAACACACGGGUUACAAGAGAAACAAUACACCACACGGCUACAAGAUCAAAACAAAGGAAAUGAUAGAGAGUGUGACAUACACUACUACAAAGACCAAGAACCUAAGUGUAUUCAAGCACAAAGACCCUUGAUAAAGAUAGUAGAAACACCUACACUAUUCGGUGGACACAAGAGAGGACCUCAAUCCGUCUAGCACCCAACAAUCCAAGCAAACAAACAACAAAAGUGAUUCCACACCUAAGCUGUUUCCUAGUUUCAGCCAAGUCUUUAUGGUGGAGAGAACCUGUAUUUUUCUAGUGUGUUAUACAAUCUUCAAUAUCAAAAAACUAAGUAAAGUAACCCUAAAAUGUUUCUUAUAUAGUGUAUUACAAAGAGAAGGCAAAAAGUCCAAAAUGCUCCUUAGAGAUUAGUUGCCCCUCUAGUGUGAAUUUGUGACUUUUUUGAUAUGUUUUAAGCCCUUAAUUCCACUUCUCUUGCACACACACGUGGACGAAUUCAAUAUACAUCCUCAUAAGUUCAUCUACGUGAUCGCACUUGUAUCACUAACCCCAAACUUUAGCUCAUGAGGUGAGAAACAUAGACCCCAUUUGAUAUGGUAACCUGGCCUGUAUGCCAAACCUUUUAUAUCCCAUACGUACAAUGACCUGGUGUUGGGAAAUAAGGAGAACGAGUGAGGGUCUUCAUUCUGAAAGACAGGUUUGUCAGUUCGUAGUUGAUCUGACUAGCUUGUUUUUGAUCUGACUAGCUUGUUUCUCAUUGGAACCUUUCAUAUUCAUUUGAUUUUGUGCAGCUAAGCACAAAAUUUUGUGCUAUUUCCAAGUUCCUAUCUUUUGUGA
Molecule: long non-coding RNA, 4094 nt
Filed under: Capsicum annuum
Lineage: Eukaryota; Viridiplantae; Streptophyta; Magnoliopsida; Solanales; Solanaceae
Description: long non-coding RNA (CANN_LNC007551)
Source: RNAcentral